Molecule: ribosomal RNA, 772 nt
Filed under: Ammonia sp. genotype T6
Lineage: Eukaryota; Foraminifera; Rotaliida; Rotaliidae
Description: SSU rRNA
Rfam family: Eukaryotic small subunit ribosomal RNA
Source: RNAcentral
ACGCGGGAAUCUUACCGGGUCCGGACACACUGAGGAUUGACAGAUAUAUACCCGUGAGUACUUCGGUGCUCGCGGGUUGAAAGAUGCUAGUUCUUUCAUGAUUAUGUGAUAGGUGGUGCAUGGCCGUUCUUAGUUCGUGGAGUGAUCUGUCUGCUUAAUUGCGUAUCAAUAAUAGAGACCUAGUAUACGCGUAGACUCAUGCGGUAGUGACCCCCCUUCACAGGGCGCGUGUCGCACGUAUGUUAUACGCACAGGUCUCCGAUAGCAACGAACGUGACCGUACUCUAUUGUUGCAGCGACAAUACCUUUCAACGGGUAUUACCGCUGCUUAGCAAGAUUCGUCUUGCAUUAAACUAUAGAGACCGCUGUUUCUUCUUUAAACCAGAGGAAGGAUACGGCAAUAACAGGUCUGUGAUGCCCUCAGAUGUUCUGGGCUGCACACGUGCUACAAUGAUCAUUGCACUGUGCAUCUAACCCAAUGUGCGCGGACGCCGCCGUGCGUAUAUACUUUAUUGUGUAUGCGUAUCGUGCGUGCGACCGCGCCGAACCUGCUUCGAAAGUAAACAUUUCCAGCGGGUAAUCCAUUAGAAGUAAUGACUCGCAUAGACCAUGGCACACUAUAUGUACCCGCGGGUUCUACCCGGCUCGCCUUUGUGUGAGUGCAGUGCGUANCUCGUUGUUUGGUACGUGCCACUCCGUAUUAAUUCAUACGUGGGGAUAGAUCAUUGUUUAAUUGUUGGUCUCGGUCUUAACUAGGAAUGCCUUGUACGGG